UGGGGAAUAUUGGACAAUGGGCGAAAGCCUGAUCCAGCCAUGCCGCGUGUGUGAAGAAGGUCUUCGGAUUGUAAAGCACUUUAAGUUGGGAGGAAGGGUUGUAGAUUAAUACUCUGCAAUUUUGACGUUACCGACAGAAUAAGCACCGGCUAACUCUGUGCCAGCAGCCGCGGUAAUACAGAGGGUGCAAGCGUUAAUCGGAAUUACUGGGCGUAAAGCGCGCGUAGGUGGUUUGUUAAGUUGGAUGUGAAAUCCCCGGGCUCAACCUGGGAACUGCAUCCAAAACUGGCAAGCUAGAGUAUGGUAGAGGGUGGUGGAAUUUCCUGUGUAGCGGUGAAAUGCGUAGAUAUAGGAAGGAACACCAGUGGCGAAGGCGACCACCUGGACUGAUACUGACACUGAGGUGCGAAAGCGUGGGGAGCAAACAGGAUUAGAUACCCGAGUAGUCCCUGAGCGGGCUGGCAAGGCGCAU
Molecule: ribosomal RNA, 472 nt
Filed under: uncultured bacterium
Lineage: Bacteria
Description: bacterial SSU rRNA
Rfam family: Bacterial small subunit ribosomal RNA
Source: RNAcentral